Athene cunicularia (burrowing owl) is the source of this 6182-nucleotide RNA transcript. It is a transcript of the gene named PWWP domain containing 2A, with no coding region annotated. The record is from RefSeq and is a predicted model, not a curated record. The transcript is spliced from 3 exons. Lineage: Eukaryota; Metazoa; Chordata; Aves; Strigiformes; Strigidae.
UAAGGUUUGGACCCCAUGGAAUCCCUGUGACCAUAUUUCCUAAAAGGGAAUACAAGGAUAAACCAGAAGCCAUGCAGCUCCAAAGUAAACCAUUCCAAGAUGAGGCACAGGUGAAGUGUGAAUCUAAUGCUGCAGUCCCUGAUGACUCUUCUCUCACGCAGCCAUCAGAACCUAGCAUAGCUAAAAGCCUAUGGACUUCUAAACCACCUCCUCUCUUUCAUGAGGGAGCGCCAUAUCCUCCUCCUUUGUUUAUCAGGGACACGUAUAACCAGUCAAUACCUCAGCCUCCACCCCGGAAAAUUAAGCGGCCCAAGCGUAAAAUGUACAGGGAGGAACCCACUUCCAUCAUGAAUGCUAUCAAACUACGACCCCGGCAGGUCUUAUGUGACAAGUGCAAAAACAGUGUUGUUGCAGAAAAAAAGGAAAUAAAAAAAGGUGGCAAUGCAAGUGACUCUUCAAAAUAUGAGGAUAAUAAAAAACGAAGAAAUGAGAGUGUGACUACUGUGAAUAAAAAACUUAAAACUGACCAUAAAGUGGAUGGAAAAAGCCAAAAUGAAAGUCAGAAAAGAAAUGCUGUGGUCAAGGUUUCAAAUAUUGCCCACAGCAGAAGCAGAGUAGUUAAAGUUUCCGCACAAGCAAAUACUUCAAAAGCGCAGUUAAAUACAAAAAAAGUUCUCCAGAGCAAAAACAUGGAUCAUGCGAAAGCUCGGGAAGUCUUGAAAAUGGCCAAAGAAAAGGCACAAAAGAAGCAGAGUGCAACCUCCUCUUCCAAAAAUGCACAUUCAAAGGUCCACUUCACACGGCGUCUUCAGAACACCAGCUCAGGUUCCCUUCCACCCCGAUUGCGUUUAAAGCCACAAAGGUAUCGGAAUGAAGAAAAUGACUCUUCUCUCAAGACAGGACUUGAGAAAAUACGGAGUGGCAAGAUGGCAACUAAGCCCCAGUCUCGCUGCUCCUCCACCCGCUCAGCAGGUGAGGCCCCUUCAGAAAAUCAGAGCCCCUCAGAAGGCCCUGAAGAGGCCAGCAGUGAGGUUCAGGACACGAGUGAAGUGCAUGUAACUGUUGAUCAGGAUGAACACCAGACAUUGGGCAAAAGAGGCAGCAAAAGCAAUAUAACGGUUUACAUGACCCUUAAUCAAAAGAAAUCUGACUCUUCCAGUGCAUCAGUUUGUAGUAGUGAUAGCACAGAUGAUUUGAAAUCUACCAACUCUGAGUGUAGCUCUACUGAAAGCUUUGAUUUUCCUCCAGGCAGCAUGCAUGCACCUUCCUCCUCCUCUUCUUCAAAGGAAGAGAAAAAGCUCAGUAAUUCCUUGAAAACGGAAGUCUUUUCCAAAAACGUCUCUAAAUGUGUCACACCAGAUGGCAGGACCGUAUGUGUAGGGGACAUUGUUUGGGCCAAGAUUUAUGGCUUCCCUUGGUGGCCAGCCCGUAUUCUUACCAUAACUGUGAGCCGAAAAGAUAAUGGCCUUUUAGUUCGACAGGAGGCUCGUAUCUCGUGGUUUGGCUCCACAACAACAUCUUUUCUUGCUCUUGCACAACUAUCCCCCUUUUUAGAAAGCUUCCAGUUGCGCUUUAAUAAGAAGAGAAAGGGUCUUUACCGCAAGGCCGUCACAGAGGCAGCUAAGGCUGCUAAGCAGCUGACUCCCGAAGUUCGGGCCCUGCUGACGCAGUUUGAAACGUGAACAUGGAAAGUAAGGUCUCAACAAAUGGCAGCAUUUUGCAUCAGACUGACGAGUCCUGUUGCUCCUUUACAGUGUCUGACAGACCACUGUGGAUUCAGGUUGGGGGCACUGAAGUUAUCAGUGAAAUUGGCAGGUCUAUCUGGUUUAAGCCCUGCCUUAAGUGAAGGGUGCACUAUGCUAUCAACUAAUCCUAUGCAAAGCAGGUUAGGACAGAGGUAAUGAGCCACCUGUUAUUUUAUUUCCCUCUUCUAUUUGAACACUUCAGAUACAGCUGUUCUCCCUGACCUAAUCAGGAUUGAUAUCUAUUUUAUUGAAAAGAUCCACACUGUUUCUCUGUAGGGCUUGUGUCCUGAAGUUUGCAUCAUGUGAUCAGAUUAGAUAACUUGACAGGUAUAAUGUAAAGGUUAAAAAGAAAAAAAAAAAAAAUUUUUGUCUCCUAAACCAACAGUCCUCAAACAGCAAGGUACAUCUAGGAUGUACCUUGUGGGGAGUUCAUCUGCUGCUUGUGACUGUAGGCACAGCUUCCUGCCUGGGCUGGCGUGUAAAAGUAAAAUCAGGAAAGACUUUAGUAACAUUUUAGUUUUUUACAGAAGUUUAGUACCUAAAACAAGAAAAAAAAUUGAAAACACAAGCAGGAACAUCUCAGUGAGAAACUUGCAGAUGACAUACGGACCAGAGUUGGGGAGCCACUCUUCUAGGAAAAUGAAGUUUGUUUUCUUUGUUCUUCUUUUUUUUCUUUUCCAAAGCCCUGCUCUGAGGCAGUAACACUUAACAGGCAUGCUUAACUUCCAGUGCAUGCCUAAGUUCGUAAGGAAAUUUAAGGUACAUGUUUAAAGCCAAGCGGAUACUGAACAUUACUGGGAAUUCUAGCCCAAAUAUGUGUUUACUACUUAGAUGUGUCAUGGAUGUAUGCAUUUCUUGUAUCUUUUUUUGACAUGGAGAGGAAAUAGGGCAGUGAGGAGAACAUAAGUUGCUGUAAAGGGAGCUUGAUUUACAUGAAGUAAUGAUUUUUUACUUUAUUAAUAUUAAAAAGUUUGAUCCGAUACUAUAUUAUUGCAUUAUGUCUGAGAUUAGAUAUUUGAUAUCCAUUGGUUUCACAUUUUAUAAACUUGAGAUUUGCUGCUGGUAAAACAGAAGACUGGACUAUAAUAGAAGAUAAGACUAGUAAUGUUUCUGGAGUGAUGGCGUGUAAAUGUCUGGGGGGGAAGCGAAGCUCCUGGUAUUUGCUCAAGCUGUUCUGGGAUCUCUCAACUGUAAGAAUCAGAGUGAAAGAGAGCUGUAGGUGCUGCCUUGGGCAGGAACACGAGUGCCAGGUUUGCAAUGAGCAGACUUUGCCAAGUAUUGAUUCUGAAAAUCACUGCAACUGCAUUGGUUGCUAAGUUGGUAGAUGGGGUGUGAAAAGUAAAACUCCCUGUCAUCAGAAUGAGGGAAAACGUGUGUUAGAGUGAACUGGCCAUUUCCAUAGACCUGGUAAUAGCGGUAUGCCUGCUAAGAUAAUGGAACCAAAUUUGUCUUGUUUAUUCCUUUGUAGAUUACAGAAGUUUGCUGGCUAGUAAUAGUGUCCCUGAGGCUUGAAUGUGGAAGUGCGUGUGUUGGGACAUACUGGCUGAAUGGUCAUCCAAUUUUUUAAUGGGAUUUUUGAUAUUUCUGAGUAGAGUCUGGUUCUCUGACAUACUAUAAAAGCUUCUCUUUGCAAGACUUCAUGGACACAUAAUAGUGAUUUAAUAUUAAUCUUAUUUUGGAUAAUUUCUUACUGGUCAUAUGCUUUAAUACCCAAUAUUGGUUGUUUUGCAGCCUGGAAUACUGUGGUUUUUAGUAACCUGCACCAACACUCAGAGACACUAGUCAACUGCUGUUUUUAUGGAACCUCACUACACUGCCACGAAGAGCACCAGCUCAUCAGGACUGAAAGAAAUCUGAGACUGAAUUGUCCUAUUUUUCCUCUGAUAUCUUCACCAAGUAGUAAACAUUUUUUGAAGGGGAAAGGGAGUAAAUAUGUUAAAGCGCCCCCUUGCACCCUGUUAGGGCACCUGUACCUAAUGUACAUUUUCUUUAAAAUUUAAAAAGAUGUUAGGAAAUAUUUUAUAAAACUUUUUUGCAAUAAUUGACGCAUGAAAUUAUUAAAGACUAUAUGACACUUACAUGCAAGGAACCACUUGAAUUAUUAGUAUGAAGAAUCACUGCAAAUAACUGGGUUUUUUUGUAAUGUGACAGUCACGUUUGUAUGUUUUGAUAGGUGCCAGUGAUGGAGCCAGUUGCCUGGGAAGUUGACUGUAACUUUUGAACUUUUAUUUUAAUUCUUAACUUUAGCAUUGCAAUUUUCCAUUCUAUGAGGCUUAGUUAGUAUUUAGUGCAGGUGUUAGCAGAGCUGUGAUCUGUGAUCAAAAGCAUGUCCAAAACCAAUUGUAUUGUAAAAUAUGAACAGUCCUGCUAUAUGAGACCAAUAUUUCCCAUAGAGGUGAUGGAAAGGACAGUGACCACAACUCCAUGUAUCUCUUAUGGGAAAGCUCCUUCUGUGUGAAUAUGGUUGCAUUUUAUUUAUGCUAUUGUAACACUUAGGGAAUUGAGGAUUGUGGAAUAACAUUAAGAAGGGCUACAACGCAGAGAGCAGCAUUUUGCUUAUAAUACUAUAACAAGAUGGGAAUCAUGAAUGGAGAGUGAUUAAAUGGAAUGGCAUUUCUAUUGCAAAUCAUGUGUUAAUUUUUCCUUUUGACAUAAAUAUUUUUCAGAUAGGUAAUUAGUAGAGCAAAGGUUUUAUUAGUGUUACUGAUGGUUGUUGAUCUGAGUUGCAUUGACUUAUUUGAAUAGCUGUAAAUCAAAAAAAAAAAAGAAACCCAGUGGGCUUUAUCCAUUUUAUUCCCCUCCCCCAAAGGUGUUUGGUAAGACUUAUUUCAGUAGAGCUUGUGAAUGCUGGACACGCUGCUGAAAUAUUGAGUUAUUAAUUAUUAAUUUAUUUGUCACUAAUUAUUUGACAUUGUGUGCACACUUUCUCAGCAGUAUCAUUUCUUACAAAGUGCUUAGCAGGGGAUUUAUUAUGUAACCUGGGAAAAUAAAUAUUUGUCUUGAAGAAAUGAAAAUGUGCACAUAAUCUACUAAGCAAAUUUUUGUUUCUAUAGAAGUGAAAAGACUUGUAGUAAACUCUUUUCCUCCUUACUAAUAUUCUGAUUUGAUUGGAGAAAAUAGAGUGUCUUUGUCUAGAUGAUUUAAAAACCGAGAUACCUUUCUGAGAGGCAUCUGUAUCAGCACAAAGGCAGUUUCACAGCCUUCGUGUAUGGAGCCUGAAUUAAUCACAUAGAAUUUGAAGCUAGGACAACUCUACUGUUCGGCUUUGAUAUUGGCACCAGGUUUAUACUUGUUAAACAAUCGGAGAGCGGGGAAGUGAGAGGCUGGGACAGGCAUCCAAACCCAGGAUAGGCCUAUCAGUGGUACACGCAUGCUGAGGCAGUUCAUGCUUCGUGCUGGCUCAGUUUCUAUCUUUCGGAGGUAAAUUCCUUAUUUACACUAGAAAUUGCAUACUUGCUGCCCAGUUCUUAACUAGCUGUAGAAUGCUGUACAGUAGGUUCAAAUUGUGCCAUUUUUUCAUAAUAAACUACAAAUACUUUUUAAAAUUUGAGACUAAUCUUUGUUAUACACUGCUUCUAAUUUUUUACCAGCUGAAGAGGAUCAGCAGUCUGGUCCUGUUUGUGACCUGAGAUUUGACUACAACUUAAUUUAAGACAUGCAAUUUGAGGAAAGGGGGAGCGAUUGAUGUCAUGUAUGUGCUAGCCUUUCACCUCCAGAAACCAAACCCCGAUUGUAUUGACAAUGAAUUGAGGGUCUUGGCCUAAUAAAUUACAUUUUUACCCACCCAGACAAAAAAAUCUAAACAAAAAAGCCACCAAACAACAUGGCACAAAACAGUUUCUGCUCAGGUAAAAGGCCCAGGACUGUAAUAGCAGGGUUAUUGCACAUUGGAUUGAAAACUGAUUGAUGUUGUAAGUAGAAGCCAGUAGUGCCUGCCUGUGUGACAUCUGACUCGUAACCGGUGCUCUUAUUUCCUCACCUUCGUGAGCACUUGUACACAGCAGCUGAAAUAUAGAAAAUACACUUAAGAGAGAUGCAGGUAUCUGCAUUGGAGAAUAUGGGUAUAUAAGCAAAUAGCAUAAAAAUAGACAAGGUAGCUAACUGUAUUUGCAUUUGUUUUCACAGAAAGUAUUGCAGCCAUUUUGUUUGAAAGCAGAUUUUCAUUUUGAAAUGAAAUUGUCAGGGAUAUUCUAAUGUUAGACAAUUACAGUAAUGUAUUGCUUUUCACUUUUUUGCUUUAGUUGCUUAAUAUUUAAGCUUUGCUCCGUGCUACCUUCUUGUCUGUAUAUUGAAUGGUCACUAUGCCUCUUUCAUUUUGUAGACUUGAAUGAGGAAAAUAUGAUUCACCCUUUAAGGUUUGCUGAGAAGUAAAUGAUAAAGAAUGUUGUGUAACAUUUAUUCAAAUAAAGCCUUGAUUUUUUUCAGUGCUCUUUUAAA